GAAGUGCGAAUGCUGACAUGAGUAACGAUAAGGGGGGUGAAAAACCCCCCCGCCGGAAGACCAAGGUUUCCUGAGCAACGCUAAUCGGCUCAGGGUAAGUCGGCCCCUAAGGCGAGGGCGAAAGCCGUAGUCGAUGGGAAGCAGGUUAAUAUUCCUGCACUUAUAUUUAUUGCGAUGGAGAGACGGAGAAGGCUAGGCUAGCGCGGCGAUGGUUGUCCGCGUUUAAGCAAGUAGGCUGGGGGAUUAGGCAAAUCCGGUCCCCUAAGGCUGAGAUGUGAUGACGAAGAGGGUCUUUGUACCCUUGAAGUAGUUGAUGCCAUACUUCCAGGAAAAUCUUCUAAGCUUCAGAUAAAUAUGAACCGUACCCCAAACCGACACAGGUGGUCAGGUAGAGAAUACCAAGGCGCUUGAGAGAACUCGGGUGAAGGAACUAGGCAAAAUGGCACCGUAACUUCGGGAGAAGGUGCGCCGGUUUUGGUGAUGGGACUUGCUCCCUAAGCCUAGGCCGGUCGAAGAUACCAGGCCGCUGCGACUGUUUAUUAAAAACACAGCACUCUGCAAACACGUAAGUGGACGUAUAGGGUGUGACGCCUGCCCGGUGCCGGAAGGUUAAUUGAUGGGGUUAGCUUCGGCGAAGCUCUUGAUCGAAGCCCCGGUAAACGGCGGCCGUAACUAUAACGGUCCUAAGGUAGCGAAAUUCCUUGUCGGGUAAGUUCCGACCUGCACGAAUGGCGUAACGAUGGCGGCACUGUCUCCACCCGAGACUCAGUGAAAUUGAAUUUGCGGUCAAGAUGCCGUAUACCCGCGGCUAGACGGAAAGACCCCGUGAACCUUUACUACAGCUUUGCACUGGACUUUGAAUUUAUCUGUGUAGGAUAGGUGGGAGACUUUGAAGCGUAAACGCCAGUUUGCGUGGAGUCGACCUUGAAAUACCACCCUGAUGACUUUGAGGUUCUAACUUAGGCCCGUAAUCCGGGUUGAGGACAGUGUAUGGUGGGUAGUUUGACUGGGGCGGUCUCCUCCCAAAGAGUAACGGAGGAGCGCGAAGGUACCCUCAGCAUGGUCGGAAAUCAUGCGAUGAGUGCAAUGGCAUAAGGGUGCUUGACUGCGAGACAGACACGUCGAGCAGGUACGAAAGUAGGUCAUAGUGAUCCGGUGGUUCUGUAUGGAAGGGCCAUCGCUCAACGGAUAAAAGGUACUCCGGGGAUAACAGGCUGAUACCGCCCAAGAGUUCACAUCGACGGCGGUGUUUGGCACCUCGAUGUCGGCUCAUCACAUCCUGGGGCUGAAGUCGGUCCCAAGGGUAUGGCUGUUCGCCAUUUAAAGUGGUACGCGAGCUGGGUUUAGAACGUCGUGAGACAGUUCGGUCCCUAUCUGCCGUGGGCGUUUGAGAAUUGAGAGGAGCUGCUCCUAGUACGAGAGGACCGGAGUGGACGAACCUCUGGUGUUCCGGUUGUGAUGCCAAUUGCAUUGCCGGGUAGCUACGUUCGGAAAGGAUAACCGCUGAAAGCAUCUAAGUGGGAAGCCCCCCUCAAGAUUAGUUCUCACUGGAACUUUAAGUUCCCUAAAGGACCCUCGAAGACUACGAGGUUGAUAGGCAAGGUGUGUAAGCGCUGUGAGGCGUUGAGCUAACUUGUACUAAUUGUCCGUGAGGCUUGACCAU
Molecule: ribosomal RNA, 1663 nt
Filed under: marine metagenome
Description: bacterial LSU rRNA
Rfam family: Bacterial large subunit ribosomal RNA
Source: RNAcentral